This 15878-nucleotide long non-coding RNA is filed under the name Capsicum annuum. Its description in RNAcentral is "long non-coding RNA (CANN_LNC005190)". Lineage: Eukaryota; Viridiplantae; Streptophyta; Magnoliopsida; Solanales; Solanaceae. The record is from RNAcentral.
GCCUUUCACCUACACUACUCUGAAACCUAGAAACAAAAAUCCUGCCCCAUUGCUCCUGCUUGGUUCUGGGUGCAGGGGUACUAGCUGAAGAUGGCUUUGGCAUAGAUGAGUGACCCUGAAACUGCGAACGAUUUCCUCCUCCAGACCUUGGUUGGCCAUACUCAAACUGUCCAGUUCUAGCCGUUUUAUUUCUCCUCUCUUUCUUUUAUUCUUUCUGCCUCAAUCUGCUGAGCAUGAGUCACCAACCUAGCAAUAUCCAACAAUAAGCAUGGCAGUCCUACACUUUUUGACUACCAAAUCCGACACUUCAGUAACAAACUUACUCAUAUUAGAUCUAGGGUUAACUACCAACUCGGGAGCAUACAUAGACAACUGAGUGAACCUAAGGCAGUACUCCUUCACCAUCAUCGAGUCCUGCCUCAGGUUCAUGAACUCCUCAACCUUGGCUUUUCUCAUCUCACGCGGAAAGAACCUGUCCAGAAAUGCAUCCUGAAACACCUGCCAACUCAUAGGAGCUGCAUCCUCACCUCUACCUCCCUUCCACAUAAUCCAAUCAUAGGCAACAUCCUUCAUCCUUCAGCCUAUAGGAUACCAAUUUUACACUCUCCUCCUCAGUAACAUGCAUAAUUUGAGUGAUCUUUCUCACCUCAUCAAUGAAGAGCUAUGGAUCCUCAUUAACCUUUGACCCAAAGAAUGCAAGUGGAUUCGUUCUCAUGAAGUCACGAAUUCUGGCUGCAACUAAAUCACCAUUCUGCUGAAGUGGGAUUGCAGCCUGAUGGUUGCCCUGAACAUUGGCAGUCACAGCUUAGGCCAUCGCCUUGAAGGCAGCCCGAAAUUCAGCAAGAGACACAAUCUCAUUCAGAGGGUUGGCUUGCAUUGGUGGUUGGCCACUGUUUCUGCGUGCAUUGGCUCGGCGAGGAGGCAUAAUCUGUCACGUAAAAGCACAAGUUAAAGCAGAUUGAGACAACUAUAAGCACAAUAGAUCAUUAAAGGAAAGGAUGAUUCCUAACUCGUUCUAUAGCCUCUUGCUAAUAAAUGUGGCGCGCUUCACACCCAUGAUCAAGACUCUACGUAAUGAGGCUUGUCUGACUCCCUAGGACUCAUUAAACCUUAGGCUUUGAUACCAAGUUUGUAACGCCACAGAAGUAUAACCGAGAUGUCACACGGUGUUCAAGACUACAAGUUGCCCCGAGCUAACCCUUUUGCCUUUAAACAGUGAUAAAUUACAAUGUCUCUAUUUGAGAGUUUCACCAAAGGGUGAAAAGGCUGAUAUGGCUACUGUUUUCAGAGCUUACAAGCAAUAUUUACAAUCCAACAAGGGAUCAAAAAGUUGAAAAACUACCUAGCCUGAACUACUUCAGCCAUCAACAUGGACUCACAGCAAAAAGGGAUGGUUAUAAGGAUUUUCUGCAUUGCAUACACCUGUAUAGCUUGCUAUUUUCCAAUCAUUCGUGGGUCCAAGCAUCCCAGAAUCUUCCUCCCUGCCAUAAUUGGAGGUAUGCAGAGUGUCAAGGAACAGAUGAGCUCAGUACAAGUAAACACACGAGGGUCUUACUUACUUGGAGAGAUAACAACUAUCAGGGACUUCUAACCCUCAACAGAGCACAAAAAGAGGUCUUUUUCCCUUCCACAGGAGAUCACAGCUACAAAAUGAUUCAAGGUCAGGAUUAAAUGAAGUUCAAAUUCAUAAAAAUAGAAGAGGUAAGUUACACUCACACUUGAAAGCUGAUAAAGACAACAACCAUGAUGAACCAAGGAGUAGCAUUAAGGACCCAAAGGAGCUUCAUCAAGAAUUGAAGAUUGAAGAAUGGGAAGCAACUCAUUUCUUAGCUCAAUCGGCGUUGGAAUGGAAGUCACAGAUAGGAAACCCUACUGAUAAGGGUAUGUGUAAUAAAGUGGACCCUUUAGGCCGGAUCGGGUUGCAGACUGGGCCAUUUCAAGUUGGAUAUGUUUUUAUUUUAUAUGGGUUGGUCCAUAUCAUUGUAAAGACAAUUUGUUUUGGAUGAAUUUAUAAAAUACCAAAUUAAAUGAAAAAAAAAUCCAAGUGCAUCUUGAAAAUCAACAAUGAAACUAACAAAGUAACAAAAUCCUUGAACUAAUGAGAAAAUAGACUCUGAAUGACUCUCAGUACGACGUGAAAAUAUAGCACGGGUGUGUUUCCCAAGUUGACACGACUCACAUUCUAAUGUGGAUAAACUAGGUACUAUCUUCUGUAGUUUGGAUAGACUUGGAUGGCUCAAACGUUUGUGAAUAAGAUCUGGAGGGUCUAUAACUGAGCAUGCGAUGUAGGAAUUUGAAGGGGUAAAAUGGCAAAGACCUUGUGAUUCAUGUCCUGUGCCAAUCGUUUGUCCCGUUUGUCCUCGGAACGAAGAGUCGAGGCUACUGGAAAAAGGAACUGCCGAAAAAGUUGUCGGAAAAUGCUCCACGCGCCAGCGUGUGGACUGGCGUGCUUGCCGGAGAAUAUCUUCUGGUGGCGCGUGAGGGCGCAAUUGACAUCUGUUCUCGGCAAGUCUGAUUGGGGUUUGCUUGCCGGGAAGUUUUGAACCUGAUGGUGGUGUUGGUUUGUUUUGAAAUACACCGACGAAAAAUAUAUUUAUUUGGACAACUACUUCUGUUAUUGGAAAACGACACAGUGACACUGGAAUGAAAUUUUUCUCACGAAUGCUCUGAUUCCAUGUGAUAAUGAAGAAAAAAUAUUAUUAAUGAAUCGUGUAAUUACAUUAUUACAAGAGGCCCUAUUUAUACACACUAUAUUCAAAUCCUUUUUCAAGUAGGACUCGAUAUGCUAUUCCUAUUCCUACACUCAUAUUCUUUCCUAUUCCUACACUCAUAUUCUAACAUUUACAUUGGUCGUAAGUCGAUGUGUUCAGCUAAUUCAUAAUUCCCUCCUCUUCACUAGCUACCAUUUCAGCAUGAAGGGUAUGUCGUGUAAAAUUGUUUUACCACUUGAAUAGAGUAACCUCUGCUGUUUCGGAGGAAAAUGAGGAAUUUUUUCUUACCUCUUUCAUUGGUGGAAGUGACCAAUUUCUAACUAAAAUGUUGUUUCAGGCUCUGCAUUGAGGUUUAAAACUUUUACACAUUUCCCCGAACUUUUGGUUCAUCAAUCUUUGGACUGAUCGGCUCCAAGCAUGCAAUUUUUAUUGAUGUUAUGUUUUAUUUGUGAUAAUGAGUUAAUUUACUAAAAUAAUUGAAUUUGGAUUAAACCUGCCCUAUCUGCAUCUGUUGCAUCCAUGAUACGCCUGAAAACCAUCAUUAGCUGUGAUAAGAUCUGGAUUUAUAUCUCCCAUUUCCAUGGUUCAUUUCCUGCAUAUAUUGUAGCUUUAAACUUGUCAGGGCUCUGUUUCAGGGCAGAAAAAUGUCAAAAACAUUGGGGAAUGCCUUAGAUCCCACUGACACAAUUGCAGAGUAUGGAACCGAUGCUUUGCGUUUCACUCUUGCCUUAGGGACUGCCGGUCAGGUUUAUAAUGAGCUCAUUUUUAGUCACUAAAUCAUGGGUAGACAUCUUUCUUUUUCUGCAAUGGUGUCCACUUGGAUGCUUUCAUCAUCCAGCUUAUCUCUUUGUUACAGGAUCUAAAUUUGUCCACAGAGAGGUUGACCUCUAACAAGGCAUUCACCAACAAAUUGUGGAAUGCUGGCAAGUUCAUAUUGCGGAAUUUGCCUCGUCAGGAUGACACUCCUACUUGGGAAGCCUUACGGGCACAUAAGGUUUGUCAAUUUUGGUGUUUAAACCCAAUUAUAUGUUUCUUUUCAACUAUUCUUCGAGAUCUGUGGGUGAGAAGCAGUUAGACACUAAUAAAUAAGAUUGUUUGAGAGAGCAGCCGUACAUAUUAAAAAAGAAAAAAAUUCUGAAAGAAAUGAGAUAAGUGUCAUGUUAUGACAAAGAAAAUGCAUUGAGUCAGAGAUUGUCAUUGUGUCAGAUUGAGUUUGGUGAUCCACUUAACUGUCAGAUUUAGAGUGAGCUUCGUGAUCAGCAUGGGCUUAAAGACUAAAGAGCUUAAUCCUGGUUGUUGGCAUAAUACUCAAAACAUGUCAAAUUUGAUUUAUUUUGUUUCCAACAUAGGCUGGCAAAGUAGAAAUUUUUUCUGUUAAAUAAUUUGGUGUAUUCCUGCGUCUCUGAAUGUUGAAGUCCUGUUCUUUGAGAAUUCUCAAAUCUAUGGCCUACAAAUUCACAGUCUAGAACAAAGUUAAUCUAAAAGAAUCGUGUUCCACCGUAGCCCAAUUUGUGGUGUUCAAAUCAAGAUCCUUGGUUUCUAUGUAGACUCUAGAAUAAGAAAAUUGGUUUCUUGGAAUACAGUGGAGUUACUUCUUCCAUAUAUCUUAGAUUGGUAAUUUACCGGGAGCUUUAGUGAUCAAAUAAAAGAUUAGAAGUCAUUCCGAGGUUUCCAAGGGUCAAGAGUUGAGUUCUGUUUUAAUUCCUUGGUCCGUGCCAACUAUAUAUCAUUCAGAAUUCUAAUCUAUUUCACUAUUUUCUGUUCUCAGUUUGAUAAAAUGGAGUUCGUGCUGAAGCUCCCACUACCUGAAUGCUGGGUGGUAAUAUGAUGUUUUUGAUGCUUAUUAAGCCCAAUAUUGCAUAGUGGUCCUGUUUUAAGUAGUUUUACACCAUUCAGGUAUCGAAGCUUCAUAUACUUAUUGAUGAAGUCACUGCAAGUUAUGAUAAAUUUUUCUUUGGAGAUGUUGGAAGAGAAAUAUAUGACUUCUUUUGGUCUGAUUUUGCUGAUUGGUAUGUUCUUCCUAGUAUUUUUGGGGCUUUUACUUUGUUUCCAUUUUAGUAUUGUGACUCUUCUGUUUAAACAAGACAUUAUCCAAUAUCUGAAGUCCUAACCAUCUAGGACCGGAAAUAACUUUCAUUGAAGAUCAAUAUGUAGAAGGAUGUUGCUGCUGGUGGGCAGAAAUUUAAUUAGUUGGUCAUUCUUACACUGACGGAUCUAAAGUUUGAAGUUUAUGGGUUCUUUCAGAGACCUCAAGCUAAUACAUAUUAUAGAUACUUAGUUAAUUUCUUACUACAUAUACAGGGCUUAAACAAAAGUUGUUGGGUUCACGUGAACCCAUAAUAAUCAUUGUAGAUAAGCCUCUGCAAUACAUUAUCUAAAAUCUGAAGGAGAGACUAUUUUUAUUGAAGAGUAAUACGUAGAAAGAAUGAUAGUGCUGGUGGUCAUGGGAAUUAAAUUUGUAGUUCAUUCUUACGCUCUUGCAUGGUGAUUUGCCUUGUUCAUGCUUGAAGAACUAGCCCUUUGUGAGUUAAAAUAGAGGUCAUUACCCCAGGUCAGUACAAUAACUUAAUGAUACGUGUGUAGGUGUAUUAUGAUUAAAGUUAAAUUACAGUGAUAAGAGUACGUAAGCUUAACCGUGAAAAAAGGUUAUGAUGAUUUUACUUCCCUUUCAUCAUGAUACUAGAUAUCUAAUUCUACCAUGAAUUAGUAACGAUAAAGUGAUUUCUGAUUCAUUUGGUUUGAGCAAAAUGUAAGAAACUCUGUCAAACUGCUUACAUCCUUUAUCUCUUCUUUGCUCACCAGCCAGGUCUCUUGUUUUUCCUUAGUGAACUGGGAUAUGCUAAAUUUUAACUGCUAACGAAUUUGGGUAAGAAUGGGAUAUACUUUUCUAACAAUAUACCAGUAAUGCUCCUUAAAGAUGCAACCUUUAACGUCAUGGCAUUUGUGGGUGUGUUGUAACUGGAGUAGUAUUGUAGACUACAUCUGAGUCUUUUAAACACAAAAUCUGGUCCUGGACAGCUUUAGUUCAUUGCUUGCAAGUGUCAGGCAGAACCUGUUGGAGGUUGGUGAUAGGUAGGUAAUCUACAUUUUGUUUGGUUCAUAUAAGUGAGACAAAUGGAAAGGGGAGGUGGACAUGCGUAUAUUCCAAGGCAAGUAAUGUUCACUUAUCUUUUCUGUCCAGUUUUAGAGGGGUUGAAAAAACUAAUGUAGGAGCGUAAAUUUCCCUCCACGCUCCGCUUGCUCUUUACUUCUGAGUAAAGAAAAAACAUAGAACUGACCUGCUCUGUUUCAUUUUUUCCCCUUUAAUUCAUCCUAUCUUCUUCUAGACCUAAGCUGAAGAUAGUAUAGCUUAUAGUUUUUUUCUCUCUUCUUUCCCUGAAUCCCUGUCUAUUUUUCAAGGUACAUUGAAGCUAGUAAAGCUCGUCUGUAUCACUCUGGAGAUUACUCUGUUGCUUCUGUAUCACAAGCAGCUCUGCUAUACAUUUUUGAGAACAUUCUUAAAUUGCUACAUCCAUUUAUGCCUUUCGUAACUGAGGAGAUCUGGCAGGUGAUGUGAUAUGUCCCAUUAGUUUGUGCUUUGAUCAGUCACUUUUAUUGUUUUGUAUAGGUUUGCUUAAUGUCAAAUCUGAUGAUCCAAGAUGAGUGAGGAUUAUGCGAUCAGAUAUUAAUGAGAACCUGCAAUCUAUGGGACAGAGUUUCUUACUCCACAAAUCUUAAUAUUACAGUGGAAUAACAAAAGAUCCAUAUCAUUUGCCUCUUGGUAACUAAAUCUUACAUGAAAAUAUGUGAGAUGUAUGAAUUAUCUUAAUUUAAGUUAGUUUACAAUGAGGUAGUUCUUUUUUUGUUUUUUCCACUUAAAAAUAGGUGUUUCAUUGAGGCAACUUUGAAGGAGAUAAAGCUUGUUAAAUAGAGUAGUCAAAACGAGAAUCCAACAUAACACCCCCCGGGGUGUGGCCCUUCCCCGCACCCUGCAUGAACACUAGAUGUUUCGUGCACUGUGCUGCCUUUUAAAAAAAGAAAAGCGUAGAAAGGCUCUCUGCUGGCGCUUUAAGCGCCUAGUGCAAUUGAAACUUUAGGUGAAUAAAGCACUAAUUAAGACAAACAAAAGUUAAAAUGUAAUACAAGAAAAUAUUACUACGAGCAGAAAUAACAAUUAUUUGGACACAAGAAUUGACCAAACUACAAUUAAGCAAAAUAUAGGAAUAGAAUUAUGUCAAUCAAGUUCACAAACCAUUUUAAAUUUUUAACUAGAUGAAGGUAUGUAGUUUUAACUUCUUAGUAUUUAGUUGAGUAUUUGAUGGUUAGUUUUCUUUUUCUAAAUCUCUAAUUUCUUAUACCUAAUUACUAGCAAUUCAAUCAAAAUAUUUUGUUUACAAUUACUUUGUUAACCAUAUUUACAAGGUUGAAGAGGUACAAGCUUGGUGCCAACUAAGCGAAGUGAAAUGCACAAUAAGCACUUCACUGUGCUCCAAAGCUUAAACAUAUCUUAGGCGAGCUUUUUAACAACAGUUACUAUCAUUUAUAUGACAGCCAACCUCUGGUGAAUGCAACCCGACUGACCCAAAAGAAAAGGGAAAAAGAAAUGAGCAACUUAUAGUUUAUCAAUACUUUUCAGACAAAGUCACAAGUAUAUUAAGCUUAUAAAUUCUAAUUCUGAUCGAUAACUUUGGGUCCUAAUCCUCUCUCAACUAAUUUGCAUCUUUUGGGGUCAUAGUCAACCAACUUAUUACCAUUCUUUAGCAUAAUCAUGUCUGCGAUCAUUUCAAAAAAGUAAUAUCAUAUCUGUGAAAGGUCUAGUCCCUGUGAAUCUGCACUAUCAAUUGAAAUGGCAUGCAAAAAAUACUUCUUUGUUUUAUGUUGCUUGACCUUCCACCUAACUGUCAGAUUCCCUAGGCUGUGAUUUCCCGAAAUGCGUUAGUAUCUUAAUCAGUUAGCAGAAACUGGUAAGUCAUUCAACUAUGACUUAUUUGAUCGGGUUUCUUCUUUUAGGGGUAUUUGCUUGUGUUAUUGAUCUGAGUCCUGUUGCUUUAUAGUAAAACUAGAAAAGAAAAUAGACUGCAAAAUUUGGAAGUGGUAGUAAAUAAUUGAUGAAUUAUUGUCAAUGUUAAAGCUGAUAUAAAUUUCUAAUUCUGAUAAAAAAUAGCUGAAGUGUGGUAUCCACUUUCAAAUAAAAAAGGAAUUGAAAGUGGGUACCUGUUUUUUCCCAAUCUUGGUUAACAUUGGAAAAAAGUUAAGAUUCUUAUAUCAGCUUCAAUGUUGAUGUUACUGUUCAAUUAUUCUUAAUAUAUUUCUAAAUAUCAGCUUUAUUUGGCCACAGGCCUACAAGCUGAUGAGGGUUGUAGUAACUUGGCCUACUCCAAAAUCUGGAAAAUCUUAUAAGAACAUCUAGUUUUUGCUUCAACCGCGAAAUAGUUUAAGGGUACAUGCUGUUCCCAUUGCAGUUUGACUCUCUUGUUCCUGCAGGCAUUACCCAGUAGAGGGGAGGCUCUCAUAGUAUCUGCGUGGCCACCUACCUCACUUCCCAGGAAUAUUGAUUCCAUAAAAAAGUUCGAGAAUUUACAGGCAUUUGUGAGUUUGACUUUCAGUUUCUUUUUUGUCAUAAUUUUCAUUAUCUUUAAUUUUAGUUAUCCUGGAUAAUUUGUCCCUUCCAUCAAUUCAGACUAGAGCCAUCAGAAAUGUCCGCGCAGAGUAUGCAGUUGAGCCAGCAAAGCUUAUUUCUGCAUCUAUCGUUGCAAAUACAGAUGUCAUUCAGUAUAUCUCUGUAAGCUCAGCUCUCCACUUUAUUCAUUUUCCUGUGUUAUUAAUCAAGAGAAAUGACAAAGUGCAGGCCCACUUAAAAUUUUUGGACCCAUGGAAAUUUAAUCAGAUUAAUGAAAUUUUAGGUUUAAAUAGUCCUAGGUUCAAAAUAUGUCUAGAUACGGAUUUUUGUAGGAGAUACUGAAGGAUAUUCCAUAACAUUUGAUACGACAUUAUAAGUAUUUUGUCUCUACAAUCAGAAUAAUUACAUCCCUUAUUAUUCAGUUUUUGAUCGAUACAGACCAUAUUGUUCAUAGACUAAGAUUGUCAACCAAGGAGCCUGCUUUGACAUUGUUGAUAAUCAAUUCAAUAGGAACUAUUAUCUCAUCUUUUCCUCCUUUUUUGCACGGACAAACAGAAUGUUGAUCCAUCUCUUUCUAUUCUAAUUCCUCUCCCUUCAUUCCUCGGAUCUGCUUGUAAAUUCUUGGUGUGAUACUCACUCGUAAAUGAUUGGUGUCAGAAUUUCUCACUAAUCAGGUGUGAUCAGUCUCAUCCAUGUAAGAAUUAGGAAUUCCUCUUCCAACUCGUCCCAUUGCUAUCAUGUUUCAUGAAACGGAUACAUGUUGAAGAAAAUAUUUUCUCUAUAUUCUGGAAGACUACACAUACAAAAUUUGAAGGUUAGAAAUGAUCUCAGUUAAUAGUGAGUGUAAGUAGUACAUAGAUAAUUUGAUAAGAUUAGGAAUGAUCACAUAUGAAAUAUAGUGUAAGUAGCACAAAGUUACUUUUCAUAGUCAAAAAGCUCCCAGGCACUUUUCCCGAGACAAUCUUUUGGAAGCCCCUUCAGGGCUUCUGAAAUUCUACUCCGGUGGUCCUUCACCAUCGGAGACUAUCUCCAAAUCAUUCAAAAUACCAUAAUCUUCCGUUUUUUUCCCCUUGGAAAUGGAUAAUCGAGUGUUUUUCAGAAUGGGGACCAAAUCUUAUGACAUCACAGCCUACUUUUCAGACAUGUAUAUGGUUUGACUGGGUAGAGCGCGCGAAACUCUCAAUGAUAAGGAUGACAAUCAGUAGGGGAGUCCUAAUCUGGCUGUGUAAGAUGUUGCGUGAAGCAUCGGAAAACAGGGGGAAUAACUUUAAGUCUUGGAGAUGCAGAGACUUGGCAACACAUAUAUAUUGCACUCAAAAGGUCAAUAAAUAUGGACGUUUCAUCUCAAUCAUUGCUGUUAAGGGACAGAACAGAACCGUGAUCAUAUUACCUGAGAACCAAUUUUAUAAGCGGUGGGAAAGAGUGGCAAACAAAAUUGAUGAUCUCAUUGACAGAGUGUCAAUUACACAGGGCAAAUUCAUUACAGAAACGGAUACAAAUAGGAACAUCAUUACGGGGCGGGUAAACUUUAAAGGAGCUAUUACAAAAAACAGAUGGGACCAGAGGAAGGAUGCAGGUGGAGAGGAUCCCAUAAAGGGAGCAAAAAAUCUCAAUCAGGAGGAAAAAUCUCUGCUUCGGAGAUGCCUGGUUGGUACAUUCACCGGUGGAGAAGAAACUCCCACUUGCAAUGACGUUAGAAGGUGGGCAACUCAGACUUGGAAAGGAGUCCCAAACCUUCAGGUCUAUGACAUGGAUGGAUUCAAUUUUUUGUUCGAGUUCCAAACAAGUAGAGCAGCUGAUCACAUUCUGAUGGGAGAAUGGAAUCCAACAAAAAUAGCCCUUCCAGACACUACGAGAUUUGAUUGCUACUGGAUCAGGUUUUUGGGUCUCCCUCUGCAACUAUGGAAUUCUGAUAAUAUGAAAAAGAUUGGUGAUGAAUGUGGAGGGUGGCUGGAGAAUGAAGAAGAGACUGAGCUCAGAAACCACUUGAGAUGGGCCAGAAUCAGAGUAAAAGGACCAAGGGAAAAAAAUCCCGUUCUCCAUUGAAGUCGAUGAUGAAAAUCUGACCUUUUCUCUGCCGAUAUGGUGUGAGGAACCAGCAACUUACCGGAAAAGAUCACCGGAGAAGAUGAACGACGAUGACAGGUUAAAAGAAAAUAAGUCAAAUCCUAGCACAGCUAUGCCUAUGGAGGCUUUUCACAACAGAGGAAUGAAGUUUACUGAAGAGAGUAUAUCGAAAUACGAGAUAAGCAAAAAAAGGGAAAGGUGGACUGACAAGGGGCAUAUGCUUUCUGUGGGGUCCCACUUAGGAGAGCGGGAGUUGUGUGUAGGAGGACCUAGUUGUGGACAGCUGGAAAGAGAGAUGGGCAGAGAGAAAGAAAUUCAAAAUCAGGGUUUUUGUGGUGGACCAGGAAAACACUUCAUUUAAUUUGAAAGGCAAUCAAGCCCAACUGAUUCAGGCCCACAACAAAAGAAGAAGCCCUUUAUAGAUCCUUUUACGGAGUUCAUUAACAGAACAAAUACAAAGGCAUGCAAGAGUCUGUAUUUUGUUUAUUUCAAAGGGGAGGACGAACUCAAUAUAGAAGCAACAGAGAGAAGGAAAAAAGAGAAGAACGUGCAGCUGAAUCAAAAGCAAUUAGACGUACACGUCCACAAAAAAGGGGAAUCAACAAUGAAGAACAAUGAAGGAAAAAGAAUUAAAGAGGAGGAGGUGGACUUUUCGGAAUCUCUUCUAGUAAUGUGUGCAGAACCGGAACCUUUACAGGUUAUCAACAGUGCACAAGAGGAGGAUCUUGCUUCAGCUGCUACAAAUUGGGUUCAAACAAAUAUGAUCAAACUUGGACGACAGUUUGGAGUAGAUUUUAAAGAGUGUAAAAAUGAAGCCUAUACGAUGUCAAACAAGAUGGAUCAAAGGAGGAACAAGGAGAAAGGACAAAGGGAGAGCUUACAGGACUCAAGCUCUAAAACUAUAGUUCCAAAAGAGGUGAGGAAUCUGUUUUUUGACAUGAACUUCAAAGAUGGGGAACCAAGAUCUAAUGGGAGAAUGCUAGCUUUAACAAAUCAAUGAAAGUAAAGCUAGUAUCAUGGAAUGUGAGGGGGUUAAAUAGGGUGAAAAAGGGACACGGUUAGGAAAUUACUAUGUCAAUGGGAUGCGGAUAUUUAUGUUCUAGUUGAAACAAAGCUAGAAGGUCUUGUAGAUGGUAUGCUACGAAGUAUAUGGAGUAAUACAUGGGUGGGGGAAUUUCAUAAAGAGGCUGUAGGGAGCAGUGGCGGAAUCUUAGUUCUAUGGGAUAAAAGGGUGUGGAUAGGAGAAAUGAUGAAGGUUGGUGAUCAAAGUGUUACUGGGAAAUUCACUGGGGUAAAUGAUGAUUUUAGCUUUUCCAUCACUGCAGUCUAUGCAAAUUGCAAUAGAAGAAUCAGGAAGAUAUUGUGGAAGGAGUUGGUAACUAUCAGAAGUAGAUAUAGUGGGCCAUGGGUAGUGUGCGGCGACUUUAAUAUUACCAGAUUCCCUUUUGAAAGAACAAAUUGUACGAGACUGAAUGGUGCUAUGGUAGAGUUUUACUCAUGUAUCGAGGAACUGGAGCUGGUUGAUCCUCCUUUAUUUGGAGGAUCAUAUACCUGGAGGGGAGGAGAGAAUAACAAAACUGCUUCAAGGAUUGAUAGAUUCCUACAUUGUACACAAUGGGGGGAAAGUUUUUUACAGAUCAGGCAAGAUGUGCUACCAAGACUGACUUCCGAUCACAACUCCAUUGCCUUGACAUGUGGGGACUGGGAGUGGAGGAAAACCUACUUCAAAUUCGAAACAUGGUGGCUGGAAGUGAAGGGAUUCAAUGACAAAGUAAAAGAAUGGUGGAACUCCUUCAAUGUUUAAGGAGGAGCAGGCUUCAUACUAGUGGAAAAGUUGAAGUUACUAUAGGCUGAAUUGAAAAAGUAGAGUAGGGACAACAAAGGUAACUGGAAGCAAAGAAAAGAGGACAUUUUGAACUAGAUUACAACCCUAGAAAACGUCCAGGAACACAGAAUCCUCACUGAUGAUGAAGUUAUACAAAAGACCAAUUUGGCGAUGGAGUUUGAAGAGAUAGUAAAAAAUGAGAAGAUAGCUUGGAAACAAAGGUCAAGGAUACAAUGGUUGAAGAGUGGUGAUAAGAACACAAAGUUCUUUCAUAGAAUUACAACUUCACACAGGAGGUUCAAUUUUAUGGAACAACUUCAAGUGGAAGGAGUCAUGGUGAAAGAUCCAAUUAUAAUCAAGGAGGCAGUGCACGAUUUCUACAUGAAUCUAUUCAAAGAGUCUGAACAAUGGAAACCUGAUCUUAACAUACCAGAUGUCACUAUGAUUUCUGAGGAGGAACGAACUUGGUUGCAAAAACCUUUUGAAGAGGAAGAAAUUCAAGAAGGGAUUAGAUAUGAUCAACACUCUGUCUGAUUUCUACUCCAAUCAUACUUUUGAAAAGAAUUUCAAUGCAACUUUUAUAGCUCUAAUCCCUAAAAAGGUGGGAGCUUCGGAGUUGAAUGAUUAUAGACCAAUCAGUCUAAUAGGAGGGGUGUACAAGAUCAUAGCUAAGUUGCUGGCAGAAAGGCUUAAAAAGGUGGUGAGCAAGCUGGUAAAUAAAAAUCAAAUGGCCUUUAUAAAGGGAAGACAAAUCAUGGAUACCGCACUCAUAGCCAGUGAAUGUAUAGACUCUAGGAUGAAAAGUGGAGAUGCAGGGCUACUAUGCAAAUUGGACAUCCAGAAAGCUUAUGACCAUGUAAAUUGGUCCUUCCUUCUCAACAUCUUGAAACAAAUAGGUCUUGGUAGCAAAUGGUUGAAAUGGAUAUAAGCUUGUAUAAAGACGGUGAGAUUUUCAGUUUUAGUUAAUGGUGAACCAGUUAAAUUCUUUCCAUCUGUAAGAGGGUUCAGACAAGGGGAUCCUCUAUCCCCUUUUCUCUUUAUUUUGGCAAUGGAAGGAUUUGAUAGCAUGAUGAGAAUAGCUAUACGAUAGAGAUGGAUCAGAGGCUUUCUUAUAGGGGACACGCUAGGAGUGAGAAAAGAGAUCAGUCACUUACUAUAUGCAGAUGAGACCAUUAUCAUGUGUGAGCCAGAGGAGGAGCAAUUGAAUUACAUCAGGUUGAUCCUGAUCAUUUUUGAAGCAGUAUCAGGUCGAAGGGUAAAUUGAGGAAAAAGUUGUUUGAUUCCUAUCAAAGAUGUACCUCAGAUUCAUGAAUUGGUUACUGGGAUGCAAAAUUGAGGGAUUGCCAACCACGUAUUUGGGUAUGCUCGUAGGAAGCAAACACAAAGCAGUGGAGAUAUGGGAUGGGAUCCUAGAGAAAGCAGAAAAGAAACUGACUCGAUGGAAAUCACAAUAUAUCUCUUUGGGGGGUAGAAUGGUUUUGAUUAAUCCUGUCUUGGACUCUCUUCACACUUAUGUGAUGUCCUUAUUCCCUAUUCCUUUAAAAGUGGUCAAAAUACUAGAUAGACUUCGAAGGAACUUUCUCUGGCAAGAGGGCAAAGAAAGCAAGGGUUAUUACUUAGUGAAAUGGAAUAGUGUCAUGUUGAGCAAAGAUAGAGGAGGCUUGGGCAUCAGAAACCUAAGUAUUCAAAAUAAAAAUCUUCUAAUGAAGUGGUUGUGGAGGUACAUCAGCGAAGAGAGAACUCUUUGGAAGGAGGUGAUAGUAGCAAAGUAUGGUGAGUUGAACCCCUGGUGCACAGAGGCAGUCACAUUACCAUAUGGAUGGGGAGUGUGGAGAACUAUAAAAAAUUUGUGAAUUUGCAUGGAAAAAAAUGUGAUUCUCAAAGUAGGAAAUGGCAACAAGUUCAAGUUUUGGAAAGAUGGUUGGAUUGAUCAAAAUCCUUUGAGUGCGUUAUUUCCGGACCUCUUCUCAAUUAGCACCAAUCCAGAAAGUAGGGUCAAUGAAUGUUGGUUUGCACACGGGUGGAAUCUCUCUUUCAUAUGGCUACUCAAUGACUGGGAAGUAGAUAGGGUGGCUCUCCUACUGGAAAAGCUGGAAGGAACUAAACUAGACACAAAUGUACCAGACAAGAUCAUUUGGAAACACAACAAGGAUGGAAAGUUCAUAGGUAAUAGUGCAUACAAACAAGGGAUACAAUUGGGACCUGGAAAUAAUAACCAUCAAUGGAAGACCAUAUGGAGAGACUUGAUUCCUAUAAAGGUGAAGUGUUUCACGUGGCUAGUGAUCAAAAGAGCAUGUCUUACCCAAGAAAUCCUUCAGAAGAAAGGAAGGAUGCUAGUCCCUAGAUGUUUUCUAUGCAACCUGACAAGGAAGACUAAUAGUCACUUAUUUAUGCAUUGCAAGUAUUCAACUCAACUCUAGGAACUCUUUCUUAACAUCAACAGUUACCGUUGGUCCAUGCCUUAGCACACAAGGGGAAGCAAGACUCAGAAGAGGUGGUGGAAGCUUAUUCCAUCAUGCAUAUGGUGGUCUAUAUGGAUAGAAAAAAAUGGGAGAUGUUUUGAAGAUAAUCAAAAAGUAAAAUGGAAUUGUUUAGUAUCUUUACUAUUUUGGUGUAAACAAUUGUGUAUAGUGAAUGUAGAUGAGAUUGUAGAUCUAAUAGGAAAUCUAUAAUUCCGAUUAAGGUUAUGUAAUUUUUGAAGGUGGCCAGCAAUAUCCUAAUGCUGAAGAAUACCAAUUUACCAAUGUUAAAAAAAAGUAGCAUAAAGAGGAUAAAAUGAGAGAUAUGCUUGUUUGAAGUUGACUGUUCCAAUAUCCUUCCCAAGAACUCAAUCGGUAAGGAAUGUUUUCAUUUGCCCAGUCGUUAGAACAUCUUUAAGGCCUUAAUACACACCAUCCUUGAUUAGAAAACAACCAAAACACUAUAAUUUAUUUCUCAAGAGCUUGAUUCAUGGUUGCAUUAUUGGUUAGAGUCUCGGGGAAUUAUAAAAUGGCUUUAACUUCCUCACCAGGUGUCCGAUUCGGGUGAAUCUUAUGUCGAUGGAAAGCUUAUCCAAUUCUCCACAUGAUCGAGAGUAGAAUUUAGGGAAAUGCAACAUGAGAUAAAUAACAAUCAAUUUGUAAGUCAUCCAUAUUCACUCAAAAGAUGGAUUUAGGCUUAAGAAACGAUUGGGGUAUUACACUUUUGUACUCAACCUUUCAAGAGUUCGGGUCAUAGCCUCAAAAGUGACCCUCAUAUUCUCCAUUUCAUUAGAAUCCACGUUUUGAGACUUGGAUCCCUCUAUUGUCAAGGUAUCACCUACACAAGCAACAAACAAGUUAGUUUAAAACCUUUCCUCACCCACAAUCUCGGAUUACUCAUACUCGAGCUCCACAAGUGUUGUAGAUUGACUAGUAACCCAUGAAUCCUUAAGGUUUGAGUAUGCUCUUGUCCGAAUUGGAUUCCUUAAGGUUUGAGUAUGCUCUUGUCCGAAUUGGAUUCUUGUUUGAAACUCAAAGAAUUCCCGUCGGACUAAAGUCAAGGAGUUACAACAUAUUCAAACGACAAAAGCACACAAACAAAUAAUGACACGAAUACAAGGCUUCAAAGGACUAAUUGACAAUCUAGUAGGAAUGUACUAGCUUGCUGAUUUGUUCUCGAGUCAAUUAGAAGAAACUAAGAAUCAAUAAUUAGAAAC